AAAUUGAAGAGUUUGAUCAUGGCUCAGAUUGAACGCUGGCGGCAGGCCUAACACAUGCAAGUCGAACGGUAACAGGAAGAAGCUUGCUUCUUUGCUGACGAGUGGCGGACGGGUGAGUAAUGUCUGGGAAACUGCCUGAUGGAGGGGGAUAACUACUGGAAACGGUAGCUAAUACCGCAUAACGUCGCAAGACCAAAGAGGGGGACCUUCGGGCCUCUUGCCAUCGGAUGUGCCCAGAUGGGAUUAGCUAGUAGGUGGGGUAACGGCUCACCUAGGCGACGAUCCCUAGCUGGUCUGAGAGGAUGACCAGCCACACUGGAACUGAGACACGGUCCAGACUCCUACGGGAGGCAGCAGUGGGGAAUAUUGCACAAUGGGCGCAAGCCUGAUGCAGCCAUGCCGCGUGUAUGAAGAAGGCCUUCGGGUUGUAAAGUACUUUCAGCGGGGAGGAAGGGAGUAAAGUUAAUACCUCU
RNAcentral lists this ribosomal RNA (473 nucleotides) under Escherichia coli. RNAcentral's name for it is "bacterial SSU rRNA". It matches the Rfam family "Bacterial small subunit ribosomal RNA", at positions 1 to 470 of the family's 1533-position model. Lineage: Bacteria; Pseudomonadati; Pseudomonadota; Gammaproteobacteria; Enterobacterales; Enterobacteriaceae. The record is from RNAcentral.